This 221-nucleotide ribosomal RNA is filed under the name Vibrio parahaemolyticus. RNAcentral describes it as "partial 16S ribosomal RNA". It matches the Rfam family "Bacterial small subunit ribosomal RNA", at positions 1 to 217 of the family's 1533-position model. The record is from RNAcentral. Lineage: Bacteria; Pseudomonadati; Pseudomonadota; Gammaproteobacteria; Vibrionales; Vibrionaceae.
AAAUUGAAGAGUUUGAUCAUGGCUCAGAUUGAACGCUGGCGGCAGGCCUAACACAUGCAAGUCGAGCGGAAACGAGUUAUCAGAACCUUCGGGAGACGAUAACGGCGUCGAGCGGCGGACGGGUGAGUAAUGCCUAGGAAAUUGCCCUGAUGUGGGGGAUAACCAUUGGAAACGAUGGCUAAUACCGCAUGAUGCCUACGGGCCAAAGAGGGGGACCUUCG